GGCACUGUGGCUCAAGUGGUAGAGCACUUCCUUUGAGAUGAAGAGCUGAGGGACAGUGCCC
Molecule: transfer RNA, 61 nt
Filed under: Dipodomys ordii (Ord's kangaroo rat)
Lineage: Eukaryota; Metazoa; Chordata; Mammalia; Rodentia; Heteromyidae
Source: Rfam by way of RNAcentral